GGCGGGCUGCGUGGUACGUGAGACAAACAAUCCCCGGGGCCUUACCGAUCCUUAAGGGAGCCGUCCCUGACCGGGCUCGUGGGCCCGGAUACAUGGCACCCACCUACUUAGUAGGUUCCCGGGAUCGAAAACGUCUCACGGCCAAGGCGGCUCGUCC
This 157-nucleotide non-coding RNA is filed under the name Phyllobacteriaceae bacterium. RNAcentral's name for it is "6S RNA". It matches the Rfam family "6S / SsrS RNA". Rfam says of the family: E. coli 6S RNA was the first non coding RNA to be sequenced, but its function was unknown until recently. It consists of 184 nucleotides that fold into an extended hairpin structure with a large single-stranded internal bulge. Lineage: Bacteria; Pseudomonadati; Pseudomonadota; Alphaproteobacteria; Hyphomicrobiales; Phyllobacteriaceae. The record is from RNAcentral. RNAcentral also lists the same sequence under 1 other name.